Molecule: long non-coding RNA, 1009 nt
Organism: Folsomia candida
Lineage: Eukaryota; Metazoa; Arthropoda; Collembola; Entomobryomorpha; Isotomidae
Exons: 4
Source: RefSeq, a predicted model, not a curated record
UUGCUGCACAUUAUUUCACACUUGAUCAAAUUUCUCACUUUCAUGACUGAAUAAAUGGAAUUUUAACUAUCUUCAACUAGUUUGAGUGUAUCAAUUCAACAAUAUAUUCUAUGUUUACCAGAAUUGUUUGGAGAGUUGGAUAACUAAUAACAAUCCGGGCAAUAUGUCCCACCAAGAAGAAAAUAUUGAAGUUCCUGAAGGCGAAUUAUCCUCACCACCAGGGCAUGGGAAUGGAAUCUCGCAAAUAAGUAUGGAGAAUGGUAACAAAAGAUCCCUUGUGCGGACAUACUUCAAGAAGAGCUCUACAAAUUCCAGCAAAGUGACCUGUAAUGUUUGCAAAAGUGAUAUAUUUUAUGGGACCGGAAGAGAAUCUACCUAAAUUGAGUGAAGCUGCACGGCGUGUGUCACGACAACCUGAAGUUACCCACCUUGUAUCUGUUUACCCAGGAGGAAAGUAGCUUCAUAGCAAAUUAUCAGCUUUCUAGGGGAAGACGAGUUAGACAAAAACAACAAAUACGGAAUACAAAUGAAGAUCACAUCGGUGGCGAGGAACGUGGCGAGGGAUUCUUUCAAGCCUGGAUUUCCCCCCUGUUCCGAUGAUGUCAGAAUUUGAAACGUUUUACCGCAAAUGACCGGCAGCACGAACAAGGUCAUGAUGCCCGUAUAAAUCUGGAAGUUUCUAAACUGCCACGAAUUUUUACGGCAAGCCACGGCUCUCCCAUCGUUCUCCUUCCAUUUUAAAGUAUAGCAAGUGAAGCCUGAAUUCUGCUGAGCGGAGCGCACAGCACGUCGAAAAUAACGUAGCGCCACGUCGUUCCACAUAAUUUUGCGAAAUAUAUACUUGGACAGACUUCGUCUUUAAGGAAUGAGUGAAAAGACUGCGGACUUAGUUGCAGUGAGCAAUAUUUAUAUAACUACGUCGAUGUGUGUAUUUAGAUUUGGGGUAUUUUUGUACCUAUUAAUUUUAAAGAUUACCCUGGCCUCAAGAGAUAUGUAUUUGCUGGACAAU